CCUACGGGAGGCUGCAGUGAGGAAUAUUGGUCAAUGGCCGGAAGGCUGAACCAGCCAUGCCGCGUGAAGGUCAGUGCCCUAUGGGCGUUAAACUUCUUUUGUGCGGGAGCAAUAAUGGUCACGUGUGGCCAGACGAGAGUACCGUACGAAUAAGCAUCGGCUAACUCCGUGCCAGCAGCCGCGGUAAUACGGGGGAUGCAAGCGUUAUCCGGAUUUAUUGGGUUUAAAGGGUGCGUAGGCUGUUAGGUAAGUGCGCGGUGAAAUGCCCCCGCUCAACGGGGUGAAGUGCCAUUGAUACUGCCUUGCUGGAAUGCGGAUGCCGUGGGAGGAAUGUGUGGUGUAGCGGUGAAAGGCAUAGAUAUCACACAGAACACCGAUUGCGAAGGCAUCUCACGAAUCCGCGAUUGACGCUGAUGCACGAAAGCGUGGGUAUCAAACAGGAUUAGAUACCCGAGUAGUC
RNAcentral lists this ribosomal RNA (460 nucleotides) under uncultured bacterium. RNAcentral describes it as "partial 16S ribosomal RNA". It matches the Rfam family "Bacterial small subunit ribosomal RNA", at positions 338 to 795 of the family's 1533-position model. The record is from RNAcentral.